Molecule: ribosomal RNA, 556 nt
Filed under: uncultured eukaryote
Lineage: Eukaryota
Description: SSU rRNA
Rfam family: Eukaryotic small subunit ribosomal RNA
Source: RNAcentral
CGAUUGUAGUCAUAUGCUUGUCUCAAAGAUUAAGCCAUGCAUGUCUAAGUAAAAGCAACUUUUACCGUGAAACUGCGAAUGGCUCAUUAUAUCAGUACUAAUUUAUUUGAUAGUCCCUUACUACUUGGAUAACCGUAGUAAUUCUAGAGCUAAUACAUGCACUACAGUCCCUGACGCUUGCGGAGGGGAUGCAUUUAUUAGAUCGAAGCCAAUGCGGUGCUUGCACCGGUAUUGUGGUGAGUCAUGAUAAGUUUGCGAAUCGCAUGCCUUCUGGGCGGCGAUGUUUCAUUCAAGUUUCUGCCCUAUCAGCCUUGGAUGGUAGGGUAUUGGCCUACCAUGGCUUUAACGGGUAACGGAGAAUUGGGGUUCGAUUCCGGAGAGGGAGCCUGAGAGAUGGCUACCACAUCCAAGGAAGGCAGCAGGCGCGUAAAUUACCCAAUCCUGACUCAGGGAGGUAGUGACAAUAAAUAACAAUGCCGGGCUUUUCAAGUCUGGCAAUUGGAAUGGGAACAAUUUAAAUCCCUUAUCGAGGAUCAAUUGGAGGGCAAGUCUGGUA